This 77-nucleotide transfer RNA is filed under the name Desulfurobacteriaceae bacterium. RNAcentral's name for it is "tRNA-Arg". It matches the Rfam family "tRNA". Rfam says of the family: Transfer RNA (tRNA) molecules are approximately 80 nucleotides in length. Their secondary structure includes four short double-helical elements and three loops (D, anti-codon, and T loops). Further hydrogen bonds mediate the characteristic L-shaped molecular structure. tRNAs have two regions of fundamental functional importance: the anti-codon, which is responsible for specific mRNA codon recognition, and the 3' end, to which the tRNAs corresponding amino acid is attached (by aminoacyl-tRNA synthetases). tRNAs cope with the degeneracy of the genetic code in two manners: having more than one tRNA (with a specific anti-codon) for a particular amino acid; and 'wobble' base-pairing, i.e. permitting non-standard base-pairing at the 3rd anti-codon position. Lineage: Bacteria; Pseudomonadati; Aquificota; Aquificia; Desulfurobacteriales; Desulfurobacteriaceae. The record is from RNAcentral.
GGGCCCGUAGCUCAGCUGGAUAGAGCAGGGGACUUCUAAUCCCCAGGUCGGGGGUUCGAAUCCCUCCGGGCCCGCCA